GGGCCAUUAGCUCAGCUGGUAGAGCAACAGACUCUUAAUCUGUGGGUCGCUGGUUCGAAGCCGGCAUGGCUCA
Transfer RNA from Treponema maltophilum ATCC 51939, 73 nucleotides. It matches the Rfam family "tRNA". Rfam says of the family: Transfer RNA (tRNA) molecules are approximately 80 nucleotides in length. Their secondary structure includes four short double-helical elements and three loops (D, anti-codon, and T loops). Lineage: Bacteria; Pseudomonadati; Spirochaetota; Spirochaetia; Treponematales; Treponemataceae. The record is from Rfam.